CCCAUUUAUUAAUUAAAUAAACUUUCCUAUCACCGUAUACAUCUCUAAAACCCUAACAGCAUCACGCGGCAAUGAUUAUGCUUAUUCUCUUCUUGGUAAAGUUUGUUCUUCCGAUUCAUACUUUUCAUUGUGUUAGUAAAGAUUUUGUGUUGAAUAACUCGAUAAAUUUUGUUCUUCCUGGUAUUUUCAGAACUUCAUGAUUCCUUACACCCAUAAAACUUCUCUCCCUUUAGUCUCACGGAGAAUAUCUUUCAUCUUCAUUAGGGUUCUUAUUAAUUGAAUCAAUGGGUAAUCACAUGGGAAUAAAAGACUGAAAUAAUUACAUCUAUCGACAUUUAGUUGGAUGCUUAGGGUUAGUUUGGGGGUUUCUUGUGUUCAUUCCUGCCUGAUUUGGGGGGGUUCUUUGUAAAAAUGUUUCCUUUAUUUUGAUGACUUAAAAUAUUAUUGGUUUUUACCUCUCUUUGUUUGUUUGGAUAUCAUAUAUACAGUUUGUUAUUAGCUUAUAGACAAAGACGGAGCUUUAAAUUAUCGAAGAGGUACUUGUGAGUAUAGAGGCGAACCGAAUCAAUGAAGCUUACACUGUAAGUUUGCAACCAUUCAAUGUGAAUUCUUGGUGAUUUCAGGCACAGUGAUGCGAUUUGAAUGACUUUCCUUUUACACUAUCUAUAUAUAUUGAGAGAAAUGAGAUAAUUAGGAGACGAGAGAAAGAACUACAUUAUCGAAGCUUAUACGCUGCACGAAAAGACAUCAAAGGGUAUAUGCAUUAGCCAACUCCAUGACCUUAUUUGAUCAAGUAACAGAAAUGUUCGAAGUCUUUUAAUUAGAUUGUGCAAUAUUUAUGCCAAUUUAUUGAUGAAAUUGGUGUUUUGUGUGAACAUUAAAAAGUCAUGUAAUGCUCUAACUUUAAUAGCUCUACAUGUGUGUCUAUAUUUUGUAUAUGUAAAUACUAAAUAGUUUGUCAUUUGUGUUCUUGAUUCUGAUACAAGU
Long non-coding RNA from Helianthus annuus (common sunflower), 987 nucleotides. RefSeq lists it as uncharacterized. The record is from RefSeq and is a predicted model, not a curated record. The transcript has 3 exons. NCBI's taxonomy places the organism in Eukaryota, Viridiplantae, Streptophyta, Magnoliopsida, Asterales, Asteraceae.